Molecule: ribosomal RNA, 467 nt
Filed under: uncultured bacterium
Lineage: Bacteria
Description: partial 16S ribosomal RNA
Rfam family: Bacterial small subunit ribosomal RNA
Source: RNAcentral
GACGAACGCUGGCGGCGUGCUUAACACAUGCCAGUCGAACGAUGACGCCCGAGCUUGCUCGGUCUGAUUAGUGGCGAACGGGUGAGUAACACGUGAGCAACCUGCCCUUCACUCUGGGAUAACCUCGGGAAAUCGGGGCUAAUACCGGAUAUGAGCUCCUGUCGCAUGGCGGGUGCUGGAAAGUUUUUCGGUGAAGGAUGGGCUCGCGGCCUAUCAGUUUGUUGGUGAGGUAGUGGCUCACCAAGGCGAUGACGGGUAGCCGGCCUGAGAGGGCGACCGGCCACACUGGGACUGAGACACGGCCCAGACUCCUACGGGAGGCAGCAGUGGGGAAUAUUGCACAAUGGGCGAAAGCCUGAUGCAGCGACGCCGCGUGAGGGAUGACGGCCUUCGGGUUGUAAACCUCUUUCAGCAGGGAAGAAGCGAAAGUGACGGUACCUGCAGAAGAAGCGCCGGCUAACUACGUG